AUGCAGGAAAUCGUUUGUGGAUGUACGGGCAAAGCAGGGGUGGAGAACACGAGAUCGUGCCGAUGCGAAUGCCCAGCAUUAAUAAGGUUGCUCUAUUUGAAGGACAAUGGUUGGUACAUAUCUGAACAUCGUGAACAACACAAUCAUUCGCUAUCUCCAACAUAUGGGCACACGAUUCACUGGCCGUCCCACAAUCACAUUGAUGCCUAUAGCAGAGACUUGGUAGAGCAGUUACGGCAGAACAAUGUGAAUUUAGCCAAAGUACACAGUAUAAUUGGGAGCUUUUUUGGUUCAAUGGAAAAGGUGCCUUUCACAAAAAGGGCUCUG
RNAcentral lists this ribosomal RNA (327 nucleotides) under Triticum aestivum (bread wheat). Its description in RNAcentral is "partial small subunit ribosomal RNA". Lineage: Eukaryota; Viridiplantae; Streptophyta; Magnoliopsida; Poales; Poaceae. The record is from RNAcentral.